RNAcentral lists this long non-coding RNA (1060 nucleotides) under Marmota monax (woodchuck). Lineage: Eukaryota; Metazoa; Chordata; Mammalia; Rodentia; Sciuridae. The record is from RNAcentral.
ACAUUUAUUGGGUGUCAGUCACGUGUGAGGUCGAGAGCCAGGUCAAGACCUCCCGACCCUCCGAGCUGGGCGUGGGCAAGCCACCUAACCUGUAGACCCUGGUUCAGGCCUCCGUUCCAGGCUGCUGUAGUAGUCAACGCACCUCCAGCCCCAAGACGAGUCUUCUCACAUGAUCCCAGCCCUUUGCCCAGUGGGACAGAGAGAGCAACCAGCCAGACCAAAGAACGCAGGCUCCGAAUUGGACCAAUGACCUCAGUUCUUCCAGUCGACGUGUGUAUAACUUCUCUACCACCAGGUAGAGAGAAAAGCUCACCAGCUGGACGUGAAGAGGAAGCUCACAGCCUCCUCAUGCUCUGGUGGCCAUCUUGGCAUGCCAGAAGCCAGGCUUGGGUGAUGUUGACUUUGAGGAGGAUGGAGAGGCAGGAGGGAGCUAAAUAAACCAGGGACCUCGUGGGCACGAGGCAGACUUUUCUCCACUGUUCAGCUACUGCAGACAAUUAAGUCCCUGUGGUGCUUGAGCCAAUUUGAGCAGAUUUUCUGUUGGGUGCAACAAAGAUACCCCUAACUGCAGCACCCCCGUAGGCUGUGAUACGUCGCCAGUUUGAGCCAGACUUUUUUUUAUGAUUUUAUUGGUUACAGCAGACCAUCCUCAGAUUACUCAGGCCCAUCUGAGUAAUCCAGAAGCAGAGUCCCAAGUCCUUCAAAGUGCUCAAGCCUCGCUCUCCUGGCUCUUUUGCAGCCAACGUGCAUAAAAUGUGUCCCAGGGUCUUGAAAGGUUUGGAUUUGCUAUGGUGUGAAUGUUUGUGUUCUUCCAAAUACUUGUGUGAACAAUCUCACCUGAUAUUAAGGAGCGAGGACUUCGGGAUGAUUAGAUCAUGAGACCAGCGUCCCCAUAAAUGGAAUUGGCAUCUUUAUAAAAUAGACCUGAGAGAUCCCUCAGCCCUUCCACCUCAAGGACAUGCCUAGAAAGUAUCAUCUUUGAACCAUAAACCAGGCCCUCUCCAGACACCAAAUCUGCUAGUGCCUUGAUCUUGGGCUCCCCGUCCUCCAGAAUUGUAAG